GGCCCAGUGGCUCAGUUGGUUAGAGCUCCGCCCAGUCACGGCGGAGGUCACGGGUUCGAGUCCCGUCUGGGUCG
Molecule: transfer RNA, 74 nt
Filed under: Lachnospiraceae bacterium
Lineage: Bacteria; Bacillati; Bacillota; Clostridia; Lachnospirales; Lachnospiraceae
Description: tRNA-Asp
Rfam family: tRNA
About the family: Transfer RNA (tRNA) molecules are approximately 80 nucleotides in length. Their secondary structure includes four short double-helical elements and three loops (D, anti-codon, and T loops). Further hydrogen bonds mediate the characteristic L-shaped molecular structure. tRNAs have two regions of fundamental functional importance: the anti-codon, which is responsible for specific mRNA codon recognition, and the 3' end, to which the tRNAs corresponding amino acid is attached (by aminoacyl-tRNA synthetases). tRNAs cope with the degeneracy of the genetic code in two manners: having more than one tRNA (with a specific anti-codon) for a particular amino acid; and 'wobble' base-pairing, i.e. permitting non-standard base-pairing at the 3rd anti-codon position.
Source: RNAcentral